This 253-nucleotide ribosomal RNA is filed under the name uncultured bacterium. Its description in RNAcentral is "partial 16S ribosomal RNA". It matches the Rfam family "Bacterial small subunit ribosomal RNA", at positions 524 to 776 of the family's 1533-position model. The record is from RNAcentral.
UACGUAGGGACCAAGCGUUGUUCGGAUUUACUGGGCGUAAAGGGUGCGGAGGCGGCGUGUCAAGUCAGUUGUGAAAUCUCUGAGCUUAACUCAGAACGGUCAACUGAUACUGUCAUGCUAGAGUGCAGAAGGGGCAAUCGGAAUUCUUGGUGUAGCGGUGAAAUGCGUAGAUAUCAAGAGGAACACCUGAGGUGAAGACGGGUUGCUGGGCUGACACUGACGCUGAGGCACGAAAGCUAGGGUAGCAAACGGG